AGAUUGGAAUUCCUGGUGUAGCGGUGGAAUGCGCAGAUAUCAGGAGGAACACCGAUGGCGAAGGCAGAUCUCUGGGCCGUAACUGACGCUGAGGAGCGAAAGGGUGGGGAGCAAACAGGCUUAGAUACCCUGGUAGUCCACCCCGUAAACGUUGGGAACUAGUUGUGGGGUCCAUUCCACGGAUUCCGUGACGCAGCUAACGCAUUAAGUUCCCCGCCUGGGGAGUACGGCCGCAAGGCUAAAACUCAAAGGAAUUGACGGGGACCCGCACAAGCGGCGGAGCAUGCGGAUUAAUUCGAUGCAACGCGAAGAACCUUACCAAGGCUUGACAUAUACGAGAACGGGCCAGAAAUGGUCAACUCUUUGGACACUCGUAAACAGGUGGUGCAUGGUUGUCGUCAGCUCGUGUCGUGAGAUGUUGGGUUAAGUCCCGCAACGAGCGCAACCCUCGUUCUAUGUUGCCAGCACGUAAUGGUGGGAACUCAUGGGAUACUGCCGGGGUCAACUCGGAGGAAGGUGGGGAUGACGUCAAAUCAUCAUGCCCCUUAUGUCUUGGGCUUCACGCAUGCUACAAUGGCCGGUACAAAGGGCUGCAAUACCGUGAGGUGGAGCGAAUCCCAAAAAGCCGGUCCCAGUUCGGAUUGAGGUCUGCAACUCGACCUCAUGAAGUCGGAGUCGCUAGUAAUCGCAGAUCAGCAACGCUGCGGUGAAUACGUUCCCGGGUCUUGUACACACCGCCCGUCAAGUCAUGAAAGUCGGUAACACCUGAAGCCGGUGGCCUAACCCUUGUGGAGGGAGCCGUCGAAUAUUGAUCGAUUUGG
Molecule: ribosomal RNA, 821 nt
Filed under: Microbacterium sp. WBQ_30S
Lineage: Bacteria; Bacillati; Actinomycetota; Actinomycetes; Micrococcales; Microbacteriaceae
Description: bacterial SSU rRNA
Rfam family: Bacterial small subunit ribosomal RNA
Source: RNAcentral